This 443-nucleotide ribosomal RNA is filed under the name uncultured bacterium. Its description in RNAcentral is "partial 16S ribosomal RNA". It matches the Rfam family "Bacterial small subunit ribosomal RNA", at positions 338 to 795 of the family's 1533-position model. The record is from RNAcentral.
CCUACGGGAGGCAGCAGUGGGGAAUAUUGGGCAAUGGGCGCAAGCCUGACCCAGCAACGCCGCGUGAAGGAAGAAGGCCCUCGGGUUGUAAACUUCUUUUAUCAGGGACGAAACAAAUGACGGUACCUGAUGAAUAAGCCAGGGCUAAAUACGUGCCAGCAGCCGCGGGAAUACGUAGGUGGCAAGCGUUAUCCGGAUUUACUGGGGGUAAAGGGCGGGUAGGGGGGGGAGCAAGUCAGACGUUAAAUUCCAGGGGUCAACCCUGGAUCUGCGUUUGAAACUGUUUGUCGUGAGUGAUGGAGGGGCAGGCGGAAUUCCAGGUGUAGCGGUGAAAUGCGUAGAUAUACGGAGGAACACCAGUGGCGAAGGCGUCCUUCUGGACAUUAACUGACGCUGAGGCUCGAAAGCGUGGGGAGCAAACAGGAUUAGAUACCCGUGUAGUC